CUCGUAGUUGAAUUUCGGGAUUAGUACGUCGGUCGUGCCUUCGGUACGUACUGGUGUUACUGGAUUCCUACCUUCUGACGAACCAUCAUGUCAUUAAUUUGGUGUGGCGGGGAAUCAGGACUGUUACUUUGAAAAAUUAGAGUGUUUAAAGCAGGCUCGCGCUUGAAUACAUUAGCAUGGAAUAAUGAAAUAGGACGUUGCCCUAUUUUGUUGGUUUCUAGGAUUGACGUAAUGAUUAAUAGGGAUAUUGGGGGGCAUUAGUAUUCAAUUGUCAGAGGUGAAAUUCUUUGGAUUUAUUGAAGACUAACUACUGCGAAAGCAUUUGCCAAGGAUGUUUUCAUUAAUCAAGAACGAAAGUUAGGGGGAUCGAAGACGAUCAGAUACCGUCGUAGUCUUAACCAUAAACUAUGCCGACUAGGGAUCGGAUGAUGUUAUUUUUUAAUGACUCAUUCGGCGCCUUACG
This 463-nucleotide ribosomal RNA is filed under the name uncultured Glomus. Its description in RNAcentral is "SSU rRNA". It matches the Rfam family "Eukaryotic small subunit ribosomal RNA", at positions 627 to 1092 of the family's 1831-position model. Lineage: Eukaryota; Fungi; Glomeromycota; Glomeromycetes; Glomerales; Glomeraceae. The record is from RNAcentral.